Molecule: ribosomal RNA, 253 nt
Filed under: uncultured bacterium
Lineage: Bacteria
Description: partial 16S ribosomal RNA
Rfam family: Bacterial small subunit ribosomal RNA
Source: RNAcentral
UACAGAGGUCUCGAGCGUUAGGCGGAAUCACUGGGCUUAAAGCGUAUGUAGGCGGAUCGUUAAGUGCCUUGUGAAAUCCCACGGCUCAACCGUGGAACUGCUUGGCAUACUGGCGGUCUUGAGCAACCUAGGGGCGAGCGGAACAAAUGGUGGAGCGGUGAAAUGCGUAGAUAUCAUUUGGAACGCCAAUGGUGAAAACAGCUCGCUGGGGGUUUGCUGACGCUGAGACACGAAAGCCAGGGGAGCAAACGGG